AUCUCUUUCUGGAGAUUGUUCUUCUUGGAGUUUUUCCUGUAAGCCUUCAACACAGUUGUUAAAUGCUUUGUCGAUAUUUUUGGCAGCAUACAUGGUCUAUGCUCACUCUUCUGUAGCAAAGAAAUUCUUGAUACAGUAAGAAUUUUUUUUGUGAUUUGUCAAGUUCUUGACUUGAAAGACAUGUCAUCCCUGUGGUCUGAACUAAUGACAUUAUCUCCCAGGAGAUCAUUAUCUGAUGAUUGCAUCCCAUCAUGGAUUGUUCUCAGUGACCUGAGAGCUGCUGGAAAAUAUUUUUGUAACACCUGCCACAUCCGCAUCUCCUGUUGGACAUUCGUUUCCCCCUUUGGCUUGAUGCCCUGCUAUGUUUUCUGCAGUCUGUUCUCCUCUGUUACAAAGACAGUUUGGUUUCCUGGAUUAUAGCUGCCUGGGGCUACUUUCUAUCAAUAUUGUCUCAUCUCUUCUGUAUCAGUAUUAUACGAUGUGGUCUUAGAUGCUGCUAGCCUAUGAAUUACAUUGUUGAUUCUUGAUGGUUUCUAGCACUUUGAAUUGAGUUAUAGCUUUUACAAACGUGAUCUUGCUCUGAGAGAGAACUCUGACAACUUGACAGUCACAGACUCCAGGAAUGACUUGUCUUAUAUUAAUUCAUGUUAUAAAGCCCACUCUUUUGAUGUUAAGUGAGAAUAUGAGCUACUGUAUUAACAUCCUCUACUGGUACUUCUUGGAUACAUCUGUCAGUAUUUUGCCAAAGGGCCUUGCUCUUAGGCACUUCUCCUUCCCACUUAAGUUUUGUCAUUUCUGUUUUUCCCUUGUGGUUUUCUGACAUCGCUAUGGGAACUGCCUAUUCAAAUUUUACUCUGUUCUACAAGUUGUUUUGUUUGUUUCAAAAUACAGCUGAGAUGAAAAUUGCAGUUAUUAAAAAAGAAU
This is a long non-coding RNA of Gallus gallus (chicken), 924 nucleotides long. Lineage: Eukaryota; Metazoa; Chordata; Aves; Galliformes; Phasianidae. The record is from Ensembl.